ACUCCCUCUUUUUUUUCUAGCAACAAGCAGCCGCACCUCCCCAAAAAUGGAAAACUCUCCAUCGUCUCUCUUCUCUCAAAUGAGAAACAACAGCCACUCUCUCAUCUCUCUUGAUCGGGCCAAUCAGCCGUUGCUCCAGCAACUCUCCUACAAUCAGCCGCCCACCCCUCUCUAAAGUUCCCUAUGAUCCUCUUUUUCACUUGAGAGAACAACCAACUAGCCUCUUCUCCCUCACUCUUUCAGAUUCUCCAUCCCAUCUUCACCCUCUUGCCUCCAGACCUACCCACCUGCCCCAAACCCGACAAAAAAUUGGCGAUCCCCUAUGAAUUUCUUAUCUCCCUCACUUGAGCAAAAAACACGCACACAUAGAGGAAGAAGGGAGGAACGGACAUAGGGGAAUUCUGAAAAAAGAAAAAUAAAGACAGGGGGAUUAGAAAAUGGACGGGGAGCACAGCGGACAGCGAGGAAACGGUGGGAAAAACGGAAACAGAGAAACAGAGGAUGACACUUUAAAAGAAAUUAGGAUAGAAAAAUCAAGGGGAAUCUGGGGUUUUUCGACGGAAAUUAAGAGAAUAGAAGUGAGUGUUGAGUAAUUCUUCUGCAAAUUUCCACCUUUCCUUUGAAGCUCGAAAUACUCAAAAAAAAAAGAUAUUUCUGUUUCUUCACUUUUCAAUUCUAAAUUUUGUUCAAGGAUGGACUUUGAUUAGAAUUUGUGUCUGAAUUCGUGUUUGGUUCGAGUUUUUCAGUGCCGAUUCGAGAUUCCGUCUGGGUUCGUGUUUGAGAGUUCUGUAGAUUUGAGUUCCAAUCGUAACUAUGUUCGAUUCCAGUCCGGGUAACUAUUAGACGUCUUCAUCAAUUGAAAAUUCUAGUUUUAAGGUUCAACUCUUUCUCUCUUACUUUCAUCUAAUGGUGUUGAUUUUUCAUUUUAGGACAUUUAGAUACUAGAAAUGAAUUUUGAAGUUGGUUUUCAGUCUUGAUUAUUCUGUACUGUUGAGUUUCCUCCAUUCUUUUUGACUUAAUGCAUGAAUCCAUAUCUUUGUUGCGUUUUUGCGCUUGAGAAAAUGCAUAGGCUUAAUGUCAAUUAAUAUUAAACUAUUCAAGUAACGUGCUAAAUUUAUCUACGUUUAUCACUGCCUGCGUACUUCAUUGAAUGAACGUGGGUCACGGGAGUAGGAAGAGGUUAAAUCCCACUAGUAAUUUAUUUACUUUCAUGUUAUAGGGUUCGGGCUUAGUCAAAUACCCAAAAUUAAAAGUUAAAAAUAUGGGCAUGAAUUGAAUUUCUUUUAUUUAGUGUCCUUUUAUUUACUUUACUUUAUUGUAUUAUUCACUAGUAGCAUGUUUAGGCCGACCACACAUGGACAAGCAAUAAUAGGACGUUUGUGCAUCUUAUUUCAAAGUGAUAGGUCGUUCCCUUAGUUUAUUCUCAGGGGAAUGCCCCUCAGAUUUUGUAUAUAUUUUAUCCGGGGUAUGGCCCGUAGUGAAUGUAAUUAGAGGCCAUGACGGAUAUCGUGGACGAAGCAUAAUAUAGGUUAAUGUAGGAUUUUUAACAUUUUAUUUUUCUUUUCUUCUCUUUUUUUUUUUUAUUUAGGUGGGGAUGACCUCGAACCUCCUUUAUGUUUAUUUUUUCUUUUUGUGUGUAUUCUUAAUUAGAAUAUUCUUAACCAACUAGAUCCAGUACGCAACCAUGACUUUCACGGGACUCGAGGAAUGUCUAACACCUUCUUCCCGAGUCAAGUGAACCUCAUUACCUAGAACUCUGGUGCAGUCAGUUGUAGAGUCAAACGUAUUUUGAAAGAAAACUAUUUUUAAAUGGUGACCUGACACACCGAAACUCAAUUUCAGGUGGCGACUCUAAAAAAUCUUUUGAAACAUAAUCUUUUGUCACUUUUCAUAAUUGAAACCUUUUUGAACUUUAAAAAUAACUUUAUUAUUUUGAAAGAGGGUUAGUUAAGGUAAAAAAAAAAGGGGGAUAUGGCAUGUACCAUAUGAGAUCUUUAGCAACAUUUUCAUUAAUAUCAUCCAUAGCAAUUUUUAAUCUCUAUACCCAUCUAAUUCUUGCUCCAAUUAUCUUAAAGAUGCCUAACACACCAUUUAUAAUUUGAUUUAGGUACCAGAGUAGACACAACAUCCAGCAAACCCUGCAAUAUUAAAGAAAUUUUAUUAAUAAAAAAUGUAAAGCUAAAAGUGAAAAUCAAUAAUAAAAAUUAGAAGUACCUUCUGCAUAUCUGACAUAAAUGUCACUCCUUCACCAUCUCCCAGCUCUAAUGAAGAUCUCAAUAGCUCCAUAAGCCACUUUCAUAUUCUAGAUGUUUCUCUAUCCACCACUGCCCUAGCAAGUGGGUAAAAGUAUUUCACUGAAUCUUAAGCCAUAGCAACCAGUAAAAUUUCUCUGCACUUCCCUUUCAAAAAAUGUGUUGGAAGCAUAUAUACAUUCUAAGAAAACUUCUUUUUCCUUCUGUUAAAGCAUCUUUAGAGAUAUUUAUAACCACAACAGAGCCUGGGUUACUGUCCCUCAAUUAUUAAGCAUUGACCUCUAACCUACAGGUCAGCUCUCAUGUCUUUCACUUUAAAUUUAGGAUUAUUUUGGACUUUAUUCUUGAAGUAGUGUGCAAAUGCUUGUGGAGUAGUUCUUCUAUUCUUAUAUGCUGGAGCACAAUUAUGCUUAGUUAUUAGAGUCUUGAUUUUAAAACCUUGAGCUCUAUUAUCCCUUGAUAUCGAGAACACAAAAGGACAUCCAGCAUCACAUCUAUAUUUAACUCUACCAGUAUCACUCUUUUCAACUCUAUGUCCCUUAUUAUUAACAACAACAUAGUACCAAACCACUAUUUUAGCUUCAGCUAAAUCUUUAAAACUCAUACCCAUCACCAACUCCUUAUACUUUUCCAACUUAUAAUUGACUUUCCUAGUUCUUUUCUUUCUAAAAGGAUCCAACUAAUCAAAAUCAUAAUCACUAGAGUUAAUAAUAUAUGCAUAAGGUUCAUCAUCGUCAGAAGACUCGCAAUUAGUACCAAUAUCUACAUAGACAUUAUAGGGUUUAUUAUAGUAAAUGAUCUUAGGAACUGUGACAUGUACCUCACCCUCAUCUACAGCAGAUAACUGAAGCACACAUAAGUUAUUUGAUAGUAAAGAUUGUACUGUCCUAAUUCUGUAGUCACCUUCAACUAUGAAGUGACUAGCAGUUGUUCCACCUUCCUAAACCCAUAAUUUUCAAUGUAUUCUAUCUAUAUAAGACAACAAAUUCAAUAAUUAAACCAUCCACCAACCACAAUACAUACAAUAACUUCAGACAAGGACAGAUGUAAAGGGACUACAUGCAACCAAAAAUUAACUACAAAAUGACAUUAGAAGAAUGGAAGGAAACAAAGAAGCUGAAAACACAUGGAAAUACAUAAAAGCAACAAAACAACGACAGAUUCCACCGGUAGUAUAAGUAUAGAUAAAUACAUAGGCAAACUAGAAUUAAAUAUUUGGAAUCGAUAAAAAGUAGGACCCCAUAUCAAUAAUUUAACCAGCCACAACCACAAUAAAAUUUCUAAAUUCAAACAAGAAAAAAUGAAAAAGGGACCACAUGCAAUCCAAAAUUGACUACAAAAAAGACAUCAGAAGUAUUAAAGAAAACAAAGAAUCUAAAAGGCAUGUGAAAACACAUGGAAAACAAUACAAUAUGCAAAUUUAAAAACCUAAAACCUAUAUUAUUCACCAAAAUAAUAGUUUUAUUUACCUUGAAAAAUAUGAGUAACAAUUAAAUAUGAUUUGUGGUUUUAAAGAUGAGCGAUUUAUUUCAAUACUAGUGAAUAUACAAGUAAUACUAAACUAAAGUAAGAGGAAUUGAUGAACCAUACCAGCGUUGUUAGAGCAAUAAGGACCUCGAUCUCGAUUAUCUCGGGGGCCUCGAGGUGAUAUAAGAGCAAUAGAGUAUGAACAAUAAACUAAAGACAAUAAAGCUGAAGAACAAUUAUUAAGCACGGUAAACAAGAAAAGCAAAGUGGAAUAUUCUAUUGCAGUGAAUGAGAUUGUUUUUACAAAUGAUUGGGGUCCCCUUUAUAUAGGAGGGAAAAACCUUAAUAUGGUUCAUUCCUAAUUGUGGUAAAUAAUUCUAUUGGUACAGCUGUAUAAUAACCUGGUACGGACUCGUACUAUUUCGUACAAAUCUUAUCCUUUAAUUUGUGCCUUGAUCCACGUGUCCUUGAGAAAUUCCCACUCUUUCUUGAGUGUCGUCGAAAUUGUACUACUCUCAAUGUAGGUCAUACCAGGCCUUCGAUUUGCUCCCUCGAGGUGUGUGUCCUUCAGCCGUGUCUGACCCCCACUUGAAGUCGCCCAUACUCGGACUCAUACUCCAAUUUCAAACUUCGAAAUCAGGCUCCUUGAUUUUGACCGUAUAAAGAUAGUCUUCGCAUUUCUUAGAAUGAAAUAAUAUGAAACGAUUUGGACUACCGAAGUCCUUAGUGAUGACGUCAUAACCAUGAUGCAAGCGUUCAAAGUGACCGAAACGUCCCGUCGGUCCAUUUCCCCAAAAACAUUGAAUGUAUGCCGGUAUUGGCCGGCCACUAGUGCCGCCAAACCUUCAUUGCCCUUCUAUAAAUAUGAGGCGAUUACUCCAAGUAAAGAACUUUACUCUUUCUUCACCCCUUUGUCGUCUUCAUCUAUUUCUCCAAUCACCCAUUUCCUUUGCCACUUUAAGCGCCGGAAAAUGCCAAGCUCUUGCUAGAGACACCACAUCCCUGUGUAAUCCGUAUUAUUUAGCUUACAACCAUGGCCAAGACUUCCAAAACGGUCCUCAAAAAGGAUAAAGCAUCGUCCUCUUCUGCCUCCCGGCCGGCCAAACCAGUGGUGGCACCAAUACUUGAGGAAAUCACCCCCGGUAAUUGCAUUAUUAUGAAAGACUUUAGUAUCGAGAAUUCUCUCGAUGUCCCAGGCCGAUGCGAGUACGCAUCUCGAUAUAUUAGCUUGAUAACGAAGAAGCUUAUCAAGGACGUAAAGAGGGACUGUUUCUGGGGAGAUGAGGUUGACGUUCAGAUUCUGAGCCCCGGUGAAAGCAUUACUACCCACAUGCGGGGUUUUCGAGUUUUUACACUUACCCCUUCACAUUGGGUCCCCUCGAUCCGGUGGUGAUCGACUUCUGCAAAACGUACAAAGUCAACCUCGGUCAGAUUCACCCUUCCUUUGGUGUAUCGUGAUCAUGUUGCGGUAUUUUUCUGAAAAGGCCAAGGGUUUGGAAUUCACCCUCAGCCACCUGGUUCGAUUGUAUCGGCUCCAGUUAUUUCUAGGGCUCAUCAAGCUGUAGCACCAAACAAUGAAAUCCUUCUUUGUUGUACCGACAAACCCAAAGAUCGGGGUUGGAUGAGCCGAUUUGUUAGAGUAAGAACUUCGGACGUCAUCCCCGAGGAUAAAAUAUCAUUCCCGGAGAGAUGGAACUUUAACUGUAAGUGGAGUUUGUAUUCCCUAUACCUAUUUAUAUUUUGCUUCCAUAUUUCAUAACGUUGUUAUGCUUUUUCUGACAGCCAAUGCUUGGGCACCACCAGCGGUGCCCGACCUUGAGGAUUAGGUCCAAAGGUUAGCUGCCACUUCUUCCUAUGAUGAGCGCAAGUGGUGUGGGUUAUCGAAGGGCCAGUGGGAGGCCAAGAACCAUGCUAAGUGUCUAUCAAUAGUUUCAAAUGCUCUUCAUACAUUGGCAGCAUUUUAUUCACGCCUACUUGUGCAGGCCUCAGCGAUGCAUCCGAAAUGAGGCUAACUCCGAUCAUGGAAAGGACCAAGCCAUCAAAUUCGAAGUCCGAGAAGGACAACAAAAGGAAAAGGUUUUCAAAGCCCGAAGACCCUCAAGACAAGAAAACCCCCGCUCGAAGGCUGUGGAAAAGAUUUGCUCAAACGGACGCAGAUUUGGCCCGUGAUUCCCCAGAUGAUGAAGAAAAUGAUGAUGAAGUGUCGGCGCUGGUGACUCAGACUAGGAAGCCGGACGAGGCCACCAAACCUUACAAACUGGAAAUCUAAUCCUGUGGUGAGGAGACCCCGAAGGAAGAAGCGGGCAGAGCUCCUGUGUCCGCGGAGGUUGAGAUUGUCCCUCCGUCUUCAACAACUAUACUAUAUGGGGUAAAUGCUGAGACCCCCAAUGGUAAUGAGAAUUCCCCGAGUGAAGAGCUCGGGGUCGCGACAACAGGUCACUCCCUUUCAUUGCCAACCUUUUCCGAAGGGGCAAUCGAAGAAGCCAACACUUUGCGCAUGCCCGAUCCGAACAAGGUCAUCGAGGACGAUCUUUUUCAGGGUUGCUACGCUAGGAUUGAGGAUGUUGAUGACAUGAAUGAUGCGACCACUCUCUUUGAAGAGGCUAAACAUCUCCUUUCCCGAGUAAGCACUUACCUUUAGUAUUGCAAUUUUUUCUUUCUUUGCUCUCGACUAAUAUGUCUCCAUUUUAUGAAUAGGCCUUCGCAAAGUUUAGAGCUGAGCUGAGACACUGUGAGGCCGAGCUCAAGAAAGUUUCGGGUGAAGAGAAGGCCCUGAGGCUCCUCUGUAGCCAGAAGGAAAAGGAGCUUAAGGAUCUCCGAACUGCAUUGGUCAAAGCUCAAAAAGGCGAGUUCGAGCUAGAUGAGCAGGUAAAUUUGAUUUUAAUAGAGUACGUCCUUCUUGGCACUGCUUCGGAGGCUAAUACUUUAAUAUCUCAGCUGCAGCAAAAUCUAGAUAUGAUUGGGAAGCUCUGGGGCGAGGUAGAUCAAAUUCGGGCUGUUGUCAUCAGUGGAAGAAGAACAUGGAUCAACUUGUUGCCGAUAAGAAAGUUGUUACGGCCCAACUGGCCUCGGCUGAAGCUCAACUCCAAGGUGUUGAAGCGAAGGUCCUGGCUCAGGCCAGGAAAAUUGAAGGGUUGGAGGCCGAGCUGGCUAAAGCCUGGGCUGAAACUGCACAGGCUAAGGCUGAAGUUGUACAAGCUAAGGCCGAAGUUAAGAAGACGAAGGUUGCAGCUGAUAAAUCCAUUGUUAUAUACUCGAGGGAACCGCGGUCGUUCAAGCUGUGUUGAGGGAGGCCUCCGACCGGGGGAGACGGAGCAAUUAAUUGGAUAACAUCCAAGCCCGGAGGGAGACUCUCGAAUAAAUCCAUUCCCGAGGGUUCAACCUCGCUGGGGAGAUAGCUGAAGCAAAGGCAUAGGAAACCGAUGCUAGGUUUCUUGUCUCCUCGGAUGUCGAGGAUGUGGUGAGUGGCUCUGGGGACGAGGAAGGUGAAGAAGAUGUUCCCGAAGGGAAAGAGGCUCCCAAAUAUAGAGCCGCUGAAGAUGAAGACGACACUCCGGAGGUGUGACCUCGAAAAUAGAUUAGGUUUCCUUUUUUAUGUAAGGGCCCAUUGUGUGCGUUGUAAAUAUAUUUUGUAAAUUUCCCUUAUGUAUAUAAAGUAUCUUUUUGCUCUAUCCUCGAUUUGUGUUGAAUUUUAUUUUGUCCCCGUCUAUGGAAAAUUUUGAUGAUUCAAAUACUUAGCUCGAGUAUUGGUUCAGACUCGUGAUAAACCCUUAGGUUUUUAUUGCUCAAGAUCAUACUCCUUAAGGUUUUAGAUGAUCCUCGAGCUAAGCUUAAAAUCAAUUUGAUGUGAUCUUAGAACAAUGGGGCCUUUGGGUCCAAGUUGAAUGAGAACGAAGUCUCGGACACCCAUGAACUUUUGGCCAUAUAUCUCUUUUAAGCUGGCCCUUAGGUUCUUGUGUAUCGGCCCUUAGGCUCUUUUAAAAUUGGCCCUUAGGCUCUUUAAAUUGGACUGUUUCGGCCUCUAAAAUGGCUAUAUAAUUUUUCCCUCAGUUCGGCAAAAAGACUUACUGAAAUUUUAGUUAUGCCUUAGCAUGUGUUUUUGUACCCGUUGGGUUUCUCGAAGGCUUAACGUAUCGGAAACUUAUUAGUCAUUUUGUUUGUGUAGACGUAAUUGAAUACCUCUCGAGGUUGUUCCGAAGGUUGGUAUUAUCGAAGCCUUUGGAUUAUUCAAGGGCUAAUUUAUCAAAGCCCUUAGAUUUUUCGGGGGCCGAAUUUAUUGAAGCCCCUUAUAUUUUACUUUUGCCGGGAGUAGCCUGAUUUAGCUAGUUUUUCAAUGUUUGAAGGCCUUUAAUUUUAUAGUGAAAGUCCAACGUCUCCGAAUCGCAUUAUUUUGGCCGUAGCCUUUAUGUGACUAUAGUCCUUAGUAUGGUCGUAGCCUUCGGGUUUGUCAUUUGGACUUGUUUCCAAUAACUUUCCGAACUUGUUCGAAGAGUUAUUCCCCGAGUAUAUUAGCCUUGGCCUUUGUUUCGAGGGGGUGCUUCUUUGAGGUCUUAUGAGUCCAAAUUUUUGAUGACUCGGAUGUAUUGACUGUCAGUGACAGUCCCCGGGUAUUUUGAGGUGUUUUGGCCCUUGAGCCACUUCUCAUAGUAUUGUAAGUGUAGACCUCGUAUGAUAGCAAACUUCUUUGAGAUACAAAGUGUUUUUGAUAUAACCAUAAUGCUUCUUUAAAUAUUUGAUACAUGCGUACAUGUUUUGCCGUAGGUUCUCGACUAUUUUAUGUGAACACGGUUCAUUUGACCGUUUGGCCCAUUACAAAGUUCUCCUAUCGAGGCCCUCUUAGGCGUGAAGUAUCUUUCUCAAAAAUAUAACCUCCGAGGGUGAUACCCCCCAGUAUUCGAGGUUGAUUGAAAAGAAGCCUUGAAUACUUUUUUUUAAUGUUCCUUAGGUAGUAUAUAGGUGUUGCCUCGUUAAAAACCUUCCCGGUAAAACCCAUUCGGGAUAAAACCCAAUCUAAGGGAAAAAGAGUGCAAUGCAUACUUUCAAACCCAAGGUCUUCGAGCUGAAAGGUGCCUCAAUAUCUCCAAUCGAACAUCUGGAAGGAGUUAGUUUUAAAUACAAAUGGAAAAGGGGAGAAGGUCAUACCUCAGCAGUAAUAUCGCUUGAGCAACGAUAUAUUCCAAUUGUUUGGUAGUUGCUCGCCUUCCAUUGUGCUAAGUUUGUAGGAACCUUUCCCUAUGACUCCGAGGACACGGUACGGUCCUUCCCAAUUGGGACCUAGUUUCCCUUUGUUUGGGUCUCGAGUGUUGAGAGUGACUUUCCUCAGGACUAAGUCCCCGACUCUGAAAUAUCGAAGGUUCGUCCUUCUGUUGUAAUACCUUUCGAUCCUUUGUUUUUGCACAGCCAUUCGAAUUGACGCGGCCUCUCAUUUUUCAUCAAAUAGUUCGAGAGAAGUGUUCAUAGCUUCGUGAUUUAAGUCCUCGGUGGCAUGCUUAAACCUGACGCUAGGUUCCCCGACUUCGACUGGGAUCAAUGCUUCGGAUCCGUAUACCAAAGAAUACGGGGUCUCUCCCAUGCUCGACUUCGAUGUCGUUCGAUAUGCCCAUAGCACCUCGGGCAAUACUUCUCUCCAUUUACCUUUUGCAUUAUCUAACCUUUUCUUUAAGUUUUGAAUGAUAGUUUGGUUUGUGGACUCGGCCUGACCAUUUGCACGUGGGUGGUAAGGUGCUGAUAGAAUCUUUUUGAUUUUAUGGUCCUCAAGGAACUUUGUUACUUUGUCGUUGAUGAACUGCUUUCCAUUGUCACAUGCUAUUUUGGCGGGUAUCCUGAACUGACAUAUGAUGUGGUCCCAUAUGAAGUCGAUGAAUUCUUUUUCUCUUAUCUUCUCGAAGACCUGCGCUUCAACCCAUUUUAAGAAGUAGUCAGUCAUAAACAAAAUAAAUCUAGCUUUGUCUGGCGUGUUGGCAGAGGGCCAACGAUGUCCAUCCCCUAUUUCAUGAAUGGCCACGGGGGUCGGACCAAAUGGAUUUGUUCACCGAGCUGAUGGAUCAUCAGUACAAAUCUUUGGCAUUUAUCACACUUUCGAACAAACUCCUUGUUAUCCUUUUCCAUGUUAUCCCAAUAAUACCCCACUCUGAUUACCUUGCAAACCAAAGAGUUUGCACCAGAAUGAUUCCCACAAGUACCCUCAUGGAUUUAUUGUAGUACAAAAUUGGUAUCCCUGGGUUCCAAGAACACUGCCAGUGGUCCAUCGAAGGUUCUUCUAUACAACGUUCCAUUUUCGUCGAGUGAGAAUCGAGCUGCUUUGGCUCGAAGUGUUCUUGAUUCUUUUGGGUCUGUGGGGAGCUUCCCAUGCUUCAAGUAGUCGAUGUACUUAUUCCUCCAAUCCCACGUUAAACUUGUUGAAUUAAUCUCUGCAUGGCCUUCUUCGACCACCGACCUCGAUAAUUGGACGACAGUCUCCUGGAUGAUAUUGUCUUCUUCGACCGAUGACCCUAAGUUUGUAAGUGCAUCGUCUUCGCUAUUCUGUUCUCGUGGUAUAUGGUCCAGUGUCCAUUCCUUGAAGAGGUGCAAUAUCAUUUGAAGUUUGUCUAAGUACCUUUGCAUUCGAUCAUCUCGAACCUCGAAGCUUCCAUUUACUUGAUUUACUACCAAAAGGGAGUCACACUCUGCCUUGAUGACCUCUACUCCAAGGCCAUUGGCUAGUUCAAGACCUUGCUCUUCUCGAACCAACACACCACUUACCACUACCUCGGACACGGCCAGAUAUAAGUAGAGUGUUUCAUCCUCCUUCGGAGUAUGGAGCAGGGGUGGGCUCGAGAGAUACCUCUUUAAUUCUUCCAAGGCCUGUUUGCACUCCAGAGUCCAUGCGAAGUUGUUCUUCUUCUUGAGUAGGGAAAAGAAAUGAUGGCUCCGAUCUGAUGACCUCAAGAUAAAUCGGCUUAAGGUAGCUAUCCGUCCGGUUAGCCAUUGUACAACUUUCACAUUGUUCAUUACAGUGAUUUCCUCGAUGGAUUUGAUUUAUCGGGGUUGAUCUCGAUAUCUCUGUUUGACACCAUGAAACCCAAGAACUUGCCCGAGCCAACCCCAAAAGCGUAGGGGUUGAGCUUCAUGUUGUACUUUCUUCAGGAUAUAGAAUGUCACCUGCAAAUAGGGUCGAAAUAGGUCCUCUGUGCGCAGGGACUUAACUAGCAUGUCAUCAAUAUAAACUUCCAUGGAUUUUCCUAUCUGAUGUUCGAACAUCUUAUUAACUAGGUGUUGAUAUGUCGCUCCUGCAUUUUUAGACCGAAGGGCAUUACAUUAUAACAAUUUGUACCAUACUUCCUGAUGAAUGAAGUCAUUUCCUGGUCCUCUGGGUUCAUUUGAAUUUGGUUGUACCCGGAGUAAGCAUCAAGAAAAGUAAGGAUCUCGUGGCUGGCCGUAGCAUCGAUCAAAAGAUCAAUGUUGGGCAAUGGGAAAUAAUCCUUGGGGCAUGCUGUGUUCAAAUCUUUAUAGUCUACACACAUUCUGAGUUUAUUCCCCUUUUUAGGGACUACCACUACAUUAGCUAGCCAUUUGAGAUAUUUUACUUCCCUAAUAGACCCUAUCUUGAGAAGUUUUGAUACCUCUUCUUUGAUGAAUGCAUGCUUUACCUAGGACUGAGGUCUCCUCUUUUGCUUUACCUGCUUAAAUUUGUGAUCGACACUUAGUCGAUGGGUAGUUAUCUCCGGUGGGAUCCCUGUCAUAUCUAUGUGGGACGAAGCAAAGCAAUCAAUGUUAUCGAUAAGAAAUUGAAUGAGUUUUUUCCUAAGUUUGGGGGUUAACCCCAUCCCCAGGUAUACCUUUCAUUCCGGAAGAUGCUCGAUCAAUAUGGCCUGCUCGAGUUCUUCGACCGUGGACUUUGUCACAUCAGAUUCCUCGGGGGAAACGAAGGCUCGGGGGUGAGGAAAUCUUCUUCUUCGUCUUCAACCACUUGUUCGUCGAUCACCUGUCCCUCGGGCUCAACUAAGGGUAUGGGCUGUGAUUGCUAUUUGGCAACCUAUUUUUCCUUUGACUUCUCCGAUGUGGAUGGUGUCGAUAUCGGUGCCAAGUCGUGUACUGCAAACAUCUCCUUAGCUGCAUGUUGUUCUCCAUAUACUAUUUUAAUGCCAUCCUUUAUUGAGAACUUCAUCAUUUGAUGAAGGGUUGAUGGCACUGCCCUCAUGCUAUGGAUCCACGGCCUUCCUAGUAAAGCAUUAUACCUCAUAUCUCCUUUGAUGACAUGGAACUUGGUGCCUUGUAUGGUUCCGGCCACGUUGACUGGGAGGAUGAUUUCCCCCUUCGUCGUUUCACUUGCCAUGCUGAAUCCAUUCAAGACUUGAGAGGCAGGUAUGAUUUGGACAAGUAACCCAAGCUGCUCCAUGACCCUUGAUCUGAUUAUAUUUGUUGAGCUACCUGGAUCCACGAGAACACGUUUAACUUGAACUUUAUUUAGAAGGAUAGAAAUUACCAGUGCAUUAUUGUAAGGUUGAGAUAAGGCCUCGAUGUCUUCCUCGCUAAAUGUGAGGGUUUCCUCGGGCACGUAGUCCCGAGUCCGUUUCACCCUUGUGAUGGAAACUUUGGUACGUUUGAAUAUAGGUCCCUGUGGGAUGUCGACUCCGUGGAUGAUCAUGUGAGUGACAUGUUGAGGUUCUUCGGGCUCAUUCUUCCUGUUUGCAUCUCUAUCUCGAAAAUGGUUCUUGGCCCGACGCUGAGAAAUUCACGAAGAUUCCCUUCGUUGAACAACCAGGCUACCUCCUCUCUAAGUUGCCUACAAUCUUUGGUCCUCUGCCUAUGAGUACCAUGAUAUUUGCACAUAAAGUUGGGGUUCCUCUGAGAAGGAUCGGUCUGUAUAUGCUUGGGCCAUCUAGUACCUCUAAUUUUGCCAAUGGCUGAGAUGAUCCUCGAGGCACCGACGCUAAAGUUGUACUCCGAUAAUAUGGGUGCCUCUACCGGUCCCAAGUGCCUAUCAAACCCGGUUUUGGUCAUGAGUCCCUGGGAACUUUGACCUCGAUCUGCUCUUCGAUGAUUUUGAGGUAUGUUAUGCCUUGAAAUGUUCCUUCAAUCCUCGACGUAUGGCUGAUAUCUUUCCUUAUUCGAUCUUGAACCUCUGUCUGCAUUUCUUGUCUCCCUGGUUGGAUAAACUAAGCCCGAUGGGUUCUCCCAACUGGUAAUCCUCGACCCUAAUUUUUGAUUGGUACCUGUUAUGCACAUCCGCCGAAGUCACAAUGGGAUACUCGAUCAAGUUCUGCUUCAGCUGCUUUAAAGCUAUCGAACUUCGUUCAUUUACCCCCUGAGUGAAGGCUUGUACGGCCUAGUCAUCAGAGACUAGUGCUAACUCCAUUCGUUUUGAUUGGAAACGGGAUACAAACUCCCUUAACAUCUCGUUCUCCUUUUGCUUUAUUUUGAAUACAUCGGAAUUCCUUGUUGCAACUUUUAUGGAACCGGCAUGUGCCUUCACAAAUAAGUCUACCAAUAUGGCAAACGAAUUGAUAGAGUUCAGGGGUAGGUUAUGGUACCAAAUCAUGGCACCUUUAGACAGAGUUUCCCCAAACUUUUUUUAGCAAAACAGAUUCAAUCUCAUCGUCUUCCAAAUCAUUUCCUUUUAUGCCACAAGUUUAUGUGGUGAUGUGCUCGUUGGGAUCAGUGGUUCCGUUGUAUUUCGGGAUAUCUGGCAUCCAAAACUUCUUCGGGAUGGGAUUCGGAACCGCACUCUAGGGGAAUGGUUUUUGCACAAACUUCUUCAAGUCCAGUCCUUUCAAAAUUGGAGGUGCUCCCGGUAUUUGGUCGACCCUUGAGUUAUAUGUCUCCACCUUUUUGUCAUUUUCUUCUACCUUCUUUUCUCUGGUCUCGAUCUUUUUGGCGAGCUCUUCGAACAUUUUCAUAAUCGUGGGGUCAGUCCCCGAGCCAUAUUCAUCGAGCCUCUUUAGCACUGGUUCAGCACGUCGAGUGUUCGCUGGUUCGGUUGUGUUUGGAGUUCUGUUCUGACUUUGAAGUUGAGCGAUGGCGACUUGCUGGGCUUGCACAUUACGAAUAUCACCUAGAGGUUGACUCCUCAUUCUUCCAUUCCUCGUGUUCUUUGGCCAUCGGGUCGAGCUUCCCUACGCGCAUUCCUCAAAGGGUAUGCACCUGAAUCUGCGUUAAGAGUGUUAUGCGAGCUGAUAUCCACCGGCUACAUAUUUGGCACUUUCUCAUGGUUUAUGGGUGGUACACCGACCCCUAUACCGCUAUUUUCUCCAAGACCUUCAUCCUCGUGAAUAUGUGCAUUUUGUGUGCUAGACAUGUUUAAGCCUAAAAUCAAAGAAUCUUUGACAAGAAAAAAAGUGAAGAAUAACGUGUGUUAUUAGAAAACUAGCACUAAAAUAAUCACUAUUAUCAUUAGCCCCACGAUGGGCACCAAACUGUUUACCUCGAAAAAUGUGAGUAACAAUUAAAUAAGAUUUGUCAUUUUAGAGAUAUGUGAUUUAUUCUAAUACUAGUGAAUAUAUAUGUAAUACUAAACUUAAGUAAGAGGAAUUGAUGAACCAAACCAGUGUUAUUAGAGCAAUAAGGACCUCGAGCUCGAUUAUCUCGGCGGCCUCGAGGUGAUCUAAGAGCAAUAGAGUAUGAACAAUAAAGUAAAGACAAUAAAGCUGAAGAACAAUUGUUAAGCAUGGUAAACAAGAAAACCAGAGUGGAAUGUUCUAUUGCAGUGAAUGAGAUUGUUUUUAUAAAUGAUUGGGAUCCCCUUUAUAUAGGAGAGGAAAACCCUAAUAUGGUACAUUCCUAAUUAUGGUAAAGAAUUCUAUUGGUGCAGCUGUAUAAUAACCUGGUACGGACUCGUACUAUUUCGUACAAAUCUUAUCCUUCAAUUUAUGCCUUGAUCCAUGUGUCCUUGAGAAAUUACCACUCUUUCUUGAGUGUCGUCGAAAUUGUACUGCCCUCGAAGUAGGUCGUGCUAGGCCUUCGAUUUUCUCCCAUGAGGUGUGUGUCCUUCAGCCGGGUCCGACCCCCACUUUGAGUCGCCUGGACUCGGACUCAUAGCCCAAUUUAAUACCUCGAAAUCGGGCUCCUUGAUUUUGACCGUAUACAGACAGUCCUCGCAUUUCUUAGAAUGAAAUGAUAUGAAACGAUUUGGACUCCCGAAGUCCUUAGUGAUGAUGCCAUCCCCAUGAUGCAAGCGUUCGAAGUGACCGAAACGUCUCGGCGGUCCAUUUCCUUCAAUUAUGAAGUACCUUCCAAAAAGGUCCAGUGACUAGCAGUUGUUCCACUUUCCUAAACCCAUAAUUUUAAAUGUAUUCUGAACAUAUGUCUAUAUAAGACAGCAAAUCCAAUAAUUAAACCAUCCACCAACCACAAUACAUACCAUAACUUCAGAUAAGCACAAAUGUAAAGGGACCACAUGCAACCAAAAAUUAACUACAAAAAUGACAUUAGAAGCAUGGAAGGAAACAAAGAAGCUAAAAACACAUGCAAAUACAUAAAAAGCAACAGAACGAUGACAGAUUCUACCAGCAGUAUAAGUAUAGAUAAAUACAUAGGCAAACUAGAAUUAAAUAUCUGGAAUCGAUAAAAAGUAGGACCCCAUAUCAAUAAUUUAACCAGCCACAACCACAAUAAAAUUCCUAAAUUUAGACAAGAAAAAAUGAAAAAGGGACCGCAUGCAAUCCAAAAUUGACUACAAAAAACGCAACAGAAGCAUUGAAAAAACAAAGAAUCUAAAAAGCAUAUGAAAACACAUGGAAAACAACACAAAAUGCAGAUUUAAAAACCGUAAACCCUAUAUUAUUCACCAAAAUAACAGUUUUAUUUGCCUCGAAAAAUGUGAGUAACAAUUAAAUAUGAUUUGUAGUUUUAAAGAUGUGUGAUCUAUUCCAAUACUAUUGAAUAUACAAGUAAUACUAAACUUAAGUAAGAGGAAUUGAUGAACCAAACCAGUGUUGUUAGAGCAAUAAGGACCUCGAGUUCGAUUAUCUCGAGGGCCUCGAGGUGAUCUAAGAGCAAUAGAGUAUGAACAAUAAAGUAAAGACAAUAAAGCUGAAGAACAAUUGUUAAGCAUGGUAAACAAGAAAAGCAGAGUGGAAUGUUCUAUUGCAGUGAAUGAGAUUAUUUUUACAAAUGAUUGGGGUCCCCUUUAUACAGGAGGAAAAAACCCUAAUAUGGUACAUUCCUAACUGUGGUAAAGAAUUCUAUUGGUACAGUUGUAUAACAACCUGGUACGGACUCGUACUAUUUCGUACAAAUCAUAUCCUUUAAUUUGUGCUUUGAUCCACGUGUCCUUUAGAAAUUUCUGCUCUUUCUUGAGUGUCGUCGAAAUUGUACUGCCCUCCAUGUAGCUCGUACCAGACCUUCGAUUUGCUCCCUCGAGGUGUGUGUCCUUCAGCCGGGUCUGACCCCCACUUCAAGUCGCCCAAACUCGGACUCAUAGCCCAGUUUAAGACUUCAAAAUCGGGCUCCUUGAUUUUGACCGUAUGUAAGUUUAAACUUAAAGAAGAGAAGAGUAGAAAUUUUCAACUUUAAACGAAUAAUGUAGCAGAGAAUCCAAAGACUUGAGUCGGAUUUUUACCCUCUUUAAUCAGUGACCAUUUUCGCUCUUAGCCAAUAGGGUUAGAAAUGUAUUGAUAAAAUGAAUGUGGUCGUUCUUUAAGUUAAAACGGAGGGUCGACAAUAGGGCGGGUUACGGGUGGGUUAGUGUUUAGGGUUGGAUUUUAAGUUGGGCCAAUAAAAAUAUAACAUUUGAAUUAAAAAAAGUUUUUUUAAAAUAUAAGGUUUUUAGAAAUAAGGGCAUAGCUGAUCCAGAACAUAAACAAUAUGUGUUUUUUAUUGAAAAAAUGGGAAGGAGGGCUUUAUUAUACCAAAUUCAAUAGUUUCCCUUUUCCGUUAUUUUAUUAUUGACAUCAUCAUCUGUGAUAACCCAAAAUGGUCAUAUUUAGUUUAAACAUUAAUUUAUGUGUUCUAUGAAGAUGUUGAGAGCUUACCUGCUAUGAGUUAUAUAUCACCCGAAUAGUUGAUGUUAAUGGUGUUCCUUUUCUAGUAAUAUAUUGCUUAUGAGGCCACUAUUAGUAUUGUUUUCAUGUUGUGCUACAUUUAUUGGAAUAUGUAUGUGUUGUUAGGAUUGGUUUUUGGGAUUCUCUAAAAGGUAGGGCCUAGUUACAAAGGAAAUUCUGGCGAAUUUUUUGGAAAAUUUGGGAGUUAGUAGAAAUUCGGGAAAUUAAAAUGUGUGAAAGAAGAGAUAAGUUAUGUUAUGUGUUUGGGGGAGGACUUUACUUCUCAUCUGAGGACUAUUAACAAGAUGGAUACCAAUUUGAUAUGACAAUAAGUGCACGAGGCAUAUAAUAAGUGAUAUGGGGUCUAAGGAAAGUCUUAAGUCUAUGCCAAGUUGGAAAAUUUCAUAAUAGACUAAAGUUCCAAAUGAGUACACACAAGACCCAACUUUGGACAAGCAUAUCUACAUAUAUAUAAGGAUUUAUGUGAUGGAAAACCUAUUAAAUAAAAGAUCUUCGAGUUUAGUUUCUUACGCUUUAAACCGUUCGUCAUUUGAGACCAAUGGGGUCAAUUUUGCUGUGUUUCAGAUGAUGGGUUCCGGCAAGAGAUGGUGGAAGGAUUUUGUAUCGACUAGACCAGCUGGGUCUCCUGCUCUUACUUACGACCAGUUCUCUCAGUUAUUUCUUGAGAAGUUUCUUCCCAUCACACUAAGAGAGGAUUAUCGCAGGCAGUUUGAGCGUCCUCAGCAGGGCAGCAUGUCUAUCAUUCAGUAUGAGACAUGUUUCAUGGAUCUGGUCUAUCAUGCUAUUAUUCUGCUUCCUACCGAGAGAGAAUGUGAGGAGGUUUGUUGAGGGACUCGCUCAGCCUAUCAAGUUGCAGAUGUCCAAGGAGACCGGGAGUGAGAUUUAUUUUCAGACAGCUACUAAUAUCACUAGGCGAGUCGAGAUGGUUCUUGCAUAGGGGGGAGGUCAAGGGUCUAACAAGAGGCCUCGUAAUUUCAGUGGAUUCAGUGGUGCCUCAUCUGGGGCAGGGGUACUUUUGGUAGAAUACAUCCUCCCAGGACAUUUCAUUCAGCAAUCCAUGUAUCCCAUGGUGCUUUAGAUGGUCGUGGCCCUCAUAUGUCUCAUUCCGACCAUCUAGCCUAUAGUGCACCUCUACUCUAGAGUUUUCAGGGUGGUUACUCAGGUCGACAAGGUCAGUUUCAGGGUCAAUAGUCACAGCAGCCGAGGUCCUGUUAUACUUGUGGUGAUUUGAGGCACAUUGCUAGAUUUUGCCUUCGGGCAUCGAGCAGCUCACAACAUCAGGGUUCUCCCAGCACUGGGUUCUUGAUCGCUCGCUCAGCCAGCUAGAGGUAGGGCUAGGAAGCUAUAGGUGGAGGUCAGGCUGCUAGAGGUGGAGGCCAGCCAGCUAGGCCCCGUCCUAGAGAUGUAAUUUAGAGUGGUGGGGCCCAACCCCAAAUUUUAUGCUUUUCCAGUUAAGCCCGAGGCCGAGUCAUAUGAUGUCGUGAUCACAGCUAAUAUUCAAGUUUUCCAUAGAGAUUCUUCACAUCUAUUUGAUCCAGGUUCUACUUAUUCUUAUGUGUCCUCCUAUUUUGCUUCCUAUCUGGUUGUACCUCGUGAUUAGGGGUGAGCAUCGGUCGGUUCAGUUUGGUUGUGAAUGUUAUUGGUUCAUCAUAUCGGUUAUCGGUUUAUAAAUAUAAUAAAUCGAUAACGUAACCAUUAAGAUGUCGGUUAUCGGGUAUCGAUUAGUCGGUUAUCAAUCCUUAUCGGUUCGAUUAUCGGUUUACCCAAUAAGAACAAAAACUAUCUAAAAAAUCAUAUUUUUAUUAUAGAAAUCGUGAUCGAACUAUUAAGAGAAAGGAAUUUAAUUUUUACUUGUAAGAUAAGAGGGAUUAAAUUUCAACUUAGAAAAUAAAACUUUCUUUGCAUUUGAAAAUCCCAAUGAAUGAUCUCAAUUUUUAAAGUUAUAAGUUAAUAGGAGUGAGAGAUAAGACAUUCAACAAUCUAAUCUUACUAACUAUCUCAUUGAGAGCGGGCAUAAUUCAUAGAAAAAUAAUAAAAUCCUAGUCUUGUAAAUAUUAAAGAAUCUCUGCAACAAAAGAAACAAAUAGAAAAACUAAAAAUCUGAAUAAUUAAUUCUUUAAAGUUUAAAAGUAAAAAUCUUAAUUGAAGAAUUAAAAUGAGAAAUUCAGAAAAGUUUAAAACUUACUCUAAGGAUUAAGGUCAGAAGAUGAAGAGUAACUACCAAGAGAAUUGAGAGAAUGAGAGAAUGAAGCCAUAAGGUGGUUUUAUAGAUUUAGUGGGUAAAAUUAUAAUUUUGUUAAAGCUUAUUGGGCUAUCGGUUAAACCAUUAAUAAAUUGGGCAAACUGAGACCUGAACCAAUAACCCAUUAGUCAAAUAACAUUAAACCUUUAUCGAACUAUUUACCCAAUAGCCUGAUACCAAUAACCCACUAGUAUUUUAUCGGUUUGGGUUAUCGGUUAAUACCCGAUAUAUGCCCAGCCCUACUUGUGAUUCUCUGAGUGUUUUUUGUGUGUGUCCACACUGGUGGGAGAUUCUAUUGUUGUAGAUCAUGUCUAUCGUUUGUGCGUGGUUACUAUUGGGAGUCUUGAGACUAGUGUGGAUAUUCUACUUCUCGACAUGGUAGAUUUUGAUGUCAUACUAGGUAUGGAUUGGUUGUCACCUUAUCAUGCUAUAUUGGAUUGUCAUGCCAAGAUGGUGACCUUAGCCAUGUCAGGGUUACCUCGAUUAGAGUGGAAAGGAACUCCUGGCCAUUCUUCCAAUAAGGUUAUUUCCUAUUUGAAAGCUUGUCGUAUGGUCGAGAAGGGGUGUCUACCCUAUUUGGCUUAUAUUCGUGAUUCCAUUGCGGAUGUUCCUUCUAUGGAUUCAGUCCCAAUUGUUUGUGAAUAUCUAGAAGUUUUUUCCUACAAAGUUAUCAAGAAUGCCACCCGAUAGAGAUAUUUGUUUUUGUAUUGAUUUGGCUCCGGGACUCAGCCCAUUUCUAUUCCACUAUACCGUAUGGUCCCGCUGGAGUUGAAAGAAUUAAAGGAGCAGUUGUAGGACUUGCUUGAUCAGGGAUUCAUUAGACCCAGUGUCUCACCCUGGGGUGCACCAGUGUUAUUUGUAAAGAAGAAAAAUGGCUUUAUACGGAUGUGUAUUGAUUAUCGGUAGUUGAACAAGGUCACUAUCAAAAACAAGUAUCCAUUGCCAAGAAUCGAUGAUUUAUUUGAUCAACUUCAGGGUGACAAGGUGUUUUCAAAAUUAACCUGAGGUCGGGUUAUCAUCAGUUAAAGAUUAGGGUAUCUGAUGUCCCUAAGACAUCUUUUCGGACUCGGUUUGGGCCUUAUAAAUUCCUAAUAAUGUCAUUUGGGCUAACAAAUCCUCCAACGACAUUUAUGGAUUUGAUAAAUCGGGUGUUCAAGCAAUAUCUGGAUUCAUUUGUGGUUGUAUUCAUUGAUGACAUCUUGAUUUACUCUAGAAGUCGAGAGGAGCAUGAGCAACAUCUUCGGAUUGUGCUUCAGACUUUGAAGAAUAAUCAGUUAUAGGCCAAAUUUUCAAAAUGCUAGUUUUGGUUAAACUCAAUUGCCUUUUUAGGGCAUGUUGUAUCGGUAGGAGGCAUAAAAGUGGAUCCUAAGAAGAUUGAGGCAAUUCAGAACUGGCCUAGACCUACUUCAGUUACAGAGAUACGGAGUUUUCUUGGUUUGGCAGGAUAUUAUCGCCGGUUCGUGGAAGGGUUUUCAUCUAUAGCAAACCCAUUGACCAGAUUGACCUAGAAAGGUGUUCCCCUUAGAUGGUCAGAUGAGUGUGAGUUGCGCUUUCAGAAGCUCAAGACUGCUUUGACUACGGUGCCAGUGUUGGUGUUGCCCACAGGUUCAGGAUCGUACACGGUGUAUUGUGAUGCAUCUCGCAUUGGACUUGGUGCAGUAUUAACGCAAGAUGGCAGAGUGAUUGCUUAUGCAUCGCGGCAAUUGAAAGUCUAUGAGAAAAAUUAUCAUGUGCAUGACUUAGAAUUGGCAGCCAUUGUUCAUGUGUUAAAGAUUUGGAGACAAUACCUUUACAGCGUUUCAUGUAAAGUAUUCACAGAUCAUUAUAGUCUACAGUAUCUAUCCAGAUAGAAAGAUCAUAAUUUGAGGCAGAGAAGAUGGUUGGAGUUGUUGAAGGACUAUGAUAUCACUAUUUUUUAUUACCCGAGAAAGGCCAAUGUGGUGGCCGAUGUUUUGAGUAGAAAGGCUGUGAGUAUGGAUAGCCUUGCAUAUAUUCCAUCUGGAAAGAGGCUGCUAGCUGCAGAUGUUCAGACUUUGGCCAAUCAGUUUGUAAGGUUAGAUAUUUCAGAGCCUAGUCGGGUUCUAAAUUGUAUAAUCGCCCGGUCUUCUUUAUAUGAACGCAUCGAGACCGACAGUGUGAUGAUCCUUAUUUGCUUGUCCUUAAGGACACGGGUGCGGCACGGUGGUUCCAAGCAGGUUGAUGUGGGAGAUGAUGAAGUUCUGCAGAUAUAUGGUUGUAUUUGUGUUCCUAAUGUGGAUGGGCUUCGCAAAUUAAUUCUUGAAAAGGCCCACAGUUCACGGUAUUUUUUUUAUCUGGGUACUGCCAAAAUAUAUCAAGAUUUGCGACAACAUUAUUGGAGGAGGAGAAUGAAAAAGGAUAAAAUUGCAUAUGUAGCUCACUGUCUGAAUUGUCAGCAAGUCAAGUACGAGCAUCAGAGACCUGGUGGUUUGCUUUAGAAGUUAGAAAUUCCAAAGUGGAAGUGGGUGCGUAUCACUAUGAAUUUUGUUGUUGGACUCCCACGGACUCAGAAGAAGUUCGAUGAAGUAUGGGUCAUUGUGGACAGGCUGACCAAGUCAGCACAUUUCAUUCCAGUGGCAGUUACCUAUUAUUCAGAGCGGUUAGCUGAAAUUUACAUUCGUGAGAUUGUCCGCCUUCACGGUGUGCCCAUGUCUAUUAUUUCAUAUCGAGGUACGUAAUUCACCUCACACUUCUGGAGGGCUGUACAGUGUGAGUUAGGCACGUGAGUUGAGUUGAGUACACCAUUUCAUCCCCAUAUAGAAGGAUAGUCCAAGCGCACUAUUUAGAUAUUGGAAGAUAUGCUUCGCGCUUGUGUUAUUUAAUUUGGAGGUUCUUGGGAUCAGUUCUUGCCACUUGCGAAGUUUGCCUAUAAUAACAGCUACCACUCGAGCAUCCAGAUGGCCCUAUAUGAAGCAUUUUAUGGGAGGCGGUACCGUUCGCCAGUUGGCUGGUUUGAACCGGGAGAGGCUCGGUUGUUAGGUACUGAUUUGGUAAAGGAUGCCUUGGAUAAGGUCAAGGUUAUCCAAAAUCGACUUCGCGUAGCUCAGUCUAGGCAAAAGAGUUAUACCGACCAUAAGGUUCAUGAUGUUGCAUUCAUAACUAAAGAAAGAGUAUUAUUCCGGGUUUCACCUAUGAAAGGUGUAAUGAAAUUCGGAAGGAAGGGCAAGUUAAGCCCUAGGUAUAUCGGACCCUCUGAAAUUCUUGAACGGGUGGGUGAAGUAGCCUACAAGCUUGCACUACCACCUAGCUUAUCAUCAGUUCAUCUAGUAUUCCAUGUAUCCAUGCUCCGAAAAUAUCAUGGUGAUCCAUCCCAUGUGUUAGACUUCAGCUCAGUUCAAUUGGACAAAGAUUUAACUUACGAGGAGGAGCCGGUAGCUAUUUUAGCUCGUUAUGUUUGACAAUUGAGUUCUAAGAUUUAUCCUUCAGUUCGAGUACAAUGGAGAGGUCAACCGUUUGAGGCAGCCACCUGGGAGUCCAAGUUGAACAUACGGAGUAAAUAUCCACAUCUUUUCACCAGCUCAGGUACUUUUUUAAUUUCAUUCGAGGACGAACGUUUGUUUUAGAGGCGGAGAAUGUGAUGACCCAAAAAUGUCAUUUUUAAUUUAAACAUUAAAUUCUUUGUUCUAUGAAGAUAUUGAGAUCUUACCUGCUACAAGUUACGUAUCACCCAAAUAGUUGAUGUUAAUGGUGUUCCUUUUCUAGUAAUAUAUUGCUUAUGAGGUCACUGUUAGUAUUUGUUUCAUGUUGUUCUACGUUGAUUGGAUUAUUUAUGUGUUGUUAGGAUUGGUUUCUGGGAUUCUCUGAUAGGUGGAUAGGCCUAGUAAAAAAGGAAAUUCUGGCGAAGUUUUUGGAAAUUUUGGGAGUUAGUAAAAAUACGGGAAAUUGAAAUGUUCGAAAGAAGAGAUAAGUUAUGUUAUGUGUUUGCGGGAGGACUCUACUUCUCAUCCGAGGACUAUUAACAUGAUAGAUACCAACUGGAUAUGACAAUAAGUGUACAAGGUAUAUUAUAAGUGAUAUGGGGUCUAAGUAAAGUCCUAAGCCUAAGCCAAGUUGGAAAAUUUCAUAAUAGACUAAAGUUCCAAAUGAGUACGCACAAGAUCAAACUUUGGACAAGCAUAUAUACAUAUAUGUAAGGAUUUAUGUGAUGGAAAACCUAUAAAAUGAAAGAUCUUUGAGUCUAGUUUCUAACGCUUCAAACCUUUUGUUAUUUUGACACUCCUACAAGAAGUUAUGACCAAUUUAACAAAAGCUGGCAGAAUUUGUACUACCGCGCCGCGCCUGUGGGAAAUUCCAGAACGUUGCGAAAUUUAAUUUCCAGACACGUUUUGCACAGCCACCCCGCGCCCCUACAGAAAAGGGGUUUUUUACCCGAACCCCAUUUUAUUUAACUCGAUUGGGGUUCAUUUUUGGGGCAAUUUUUGGUGUUUUAGAGAGAAGGGAGAGCGAUUAUAGAGAGAGAAAGGGGAGAAAUAAAGAUUUCACUACUCUUCCUUCAAUCAAACCUUGAAAUUGCAUCAAAGGGUUGCUAAGGCCUUAAAGAGGUAAGAAUUUCUUUCCCCAUUUCUUCAAUUUCGAAAUCCAACUAGAAAUGAGUAAUUAGUAAGAUGAUUCUGGAUGUGAGAGUAUUAGUUAUACAUGCUUGUACCAAUAAGGUUGUGGGAAGAUUGUUGCGUUCAAAUGGGUAAGGAUUAUGUUGAAAAUGGUAGAAAUCUUCAUAGACUUUAAUUGAGGAUUUGAAAGGCAAUCUGAUCUCGGAAUUCGAUAAUUUUUGUAUGGUUGAACUCGUAUCGGAACGGGUGUUCGAAUUUCGUGAGUUUUUCCGAGAUUCGAGACGUGGGUCCUACUGUCAAUUUUUAAAGUGAAUUUCGGAUUUUAAUCCAGAAAAGUAGUAAAUUCAUAUGGAGUUAAUUCCUACGAUUCGUAUUGAGUAUAUUGAAUUGUUUGUGACUAGAUUUGAAGCUUCCAGACACGAAUUCUUGAGGCAAAGGCGUAUUGGAUCUUGAAUUUGGUUGCGACGCGGGGUAAGUGUCAUGGUUAACCUUGACUUGAGAGAUUAGAACUUGUUUGUCUAUUUGCUACAUGUUUAGAUGUUGGGUGCAACGUAUAUGUGAGAUGAUGAGUACUUAUGCAUUGUUGUUGGGUUAAAUCAUUCGGGUGGGACUUGUUCUUGUAAUUUAUUGCUUACUUUGAUCAUGUUAUCCAUGCUUAGACUAGUUACUUAUUAGAUUGAUCGUUCUUACUACGUUUAUUGGCUUUGUGAUAAUUGCGUAUUGUUUCCAAGGUUGAGAUUGGUAUUGUGGAACCAUUGUUGAUGUAAGGCUUGUUCUUGUUGAUUCUAUCUCCCUGUUGUUAUUUAUUCAUUGUUAUAUGGUAAGGAAGAGUGUUAAUACACGAAGGGUGAUGUCAUGCCGUAUUUUGAGUGUUAAUGCACGAAGGGUGAUACCGUGUCGUAUUUUGAGUGUUAAUGUAUGAAGGGUGAUGUCAUGCAAUAUUGUGAGAGUUAAUGUACGAAGGGUGAUGGCGUGCCAUAUUUUAAAAGUUAAUGCAUGAAGGGUGAUGUCGUGCAGUAUCAUUGUUCCAUUGUGAGGUUGAGAGUAAAAGAACGAAAGGUGAUGUCGUGUAGUUUUAUUCAUUGUGUUAAUUCGUUUUUACUUAUUAAGGACAUAUUGACUGUUCUGGUUAUCAUUUUCGUUGUAUUUCUCGUAUUUAGUACCCCUUUAGCAUGUCCCCCUCCCAAUAGUACAUGUUUAGUUUUUACUUGUUGUUAUCUUGUAUGUAUAUUAUUAUCUGCACAGGUUUAUUACGUGGGUGUCUUGUCAUAGCUGCGUCACUAUUUUUUCGAGGUUAGGCUCGACAUUUACGGAGUACACGGGGUCGGUUAAACUCAUACUACACUCUGCACUUCUUGUGCAGACUUUGGUACUGGCCCCAACUGUUUGUAAGUCAUAGCAUCUUGGAUUUUCUCAUUGGAGACUCAAGGUAGAUCUACUGACGUCCGCAAACCUUGAAGUUCCCUU
This 24976-nucleotide long non-coding RNA is filed under the name Nicotiana tabacum (common tobacco). RNAcentral's name for it is "long non-coding RNA (NTAB_LNC015473)". The record is from RNAcentral. Lineage: Eukaryota; Viridiplantae; Streptophyta; Magnoliopsida; Solanales; Solanaceae.